GGCCUGGUGGUGUAGUUGUAGCACAUUCCUCACUCGUUACGUUGCGCGCGUCCCCUACUUCCACAACCCCUGUCGGGGAGGAAAUGAAUGGGUUCGAAUCCCAUCCAGGUCA
Daldinia grandis is the source of this 112-nucleotide non-coding RNA. The record is from the annotation of a GenBank genome assembly. Lineage: Eukaryota; Fungi; Ascomycota; Sordariomycetes; Xylariales; Hypoxylaceae.